CAGUCGCCACGGUAAUACGUAGGUGGCAAGCGUUGUCCGGAAUUAUUGGGCGUAAAGGGCUCGCAGGCGGUUCCUUAAGUCUGAUGUGAAAGCCCCCGGCUCAACCGGGGAGGGUCAUUGGAAACUGGGAAACUUGAGUGCAGAAGAGGAGAGUGGAAUUCCACGUGUAGCGGUGAAAUGCGUAGAGAUGUGGAGGAACACCGGUGGCGAAGGCGACUCUCUGGUCUGUAACUGACGCUGAGGAGCGAAAGCGUGGGGAGCGAACAGGAUUAGAUACCCAGUAGUCCCUGUCUCUUAUACA
This 301-nucleotide ribosomal RNA is filed under the name uncultured bacterium. RNAcentral's name for it is "partial 16S ribosomal RNA". It matches the Rfam family "Bacterial small subunit ribosomal RNA", at positions 509 to 808 of the family's 1533-position model. The record is from RNAcentral.